GAUGAACGCUGGCGGCGUGCCUAAUACAUGCAAGUCGAGCGGACAGAUGAGGAGCUUGCUCCUCUGACGUUAGCCGAGGACGGGUGAGUAACACGUGGAUCACCUACCUAAAAGACUGGGAUAACCUCGGGAAACCGGAGCUAAUACCGGAUAAUAUACUGCACCGCAUGGUUCAAUGGUGAAAGUCGGUUUUGCUGUCACUUCUAGCUGGAUACGGGCGGCAUUAGCUAGUUGGUAGGGUAACGGCUUACCAAGGGAACGCUGCGUAGCCGACCUGACGGGGGGAUCGGCGACAGAGGAACUGAGACACGGUCCAGACUCCUACGGGAGGCAGCAGUAGGGAAUCGUCCGCAAUGGGCGAAAGCCUGAAGGAGGAGCGGCGCGUGAGUGAUGAAGGGCUGCGUAUCGUAAAACUCUGUUAUUGGGGUAGAACGAAUGUGUAAGUAACGAUGCACGUGUGGACGGUACCUAUUCAGAAAGCCACGGUUAACUACGU
This 496-nucleotide ribosomal RNA is filed under the name uncultured bacterium. RNAcentral's name for it is "partial 16S ribosomal RNA". It matches the Rfam family "Bacterial small subunit ribosomal RNA", at positions 28 to 506 of the family's 1533-position model. The record is from RNAcentral.